UCGAACAACACAUAUGGUGCUAACUGUGUGUACAGCUGUGGACAUUGUUACAAUGAUACGUGUAAUCACGUGACCGGAAACUGUCUAUUCGGUUGUACUGAUGGUUGGACAUCAAGCAAGUGCAAUCACGCCUGCAGUCCUGGUUACUAUGGACGUGGUUGUACACAGAGAUGUAGCAGUCACUGUAUAACGCCGUAUCUGUGUGACCGAUAUAAUGGAUCUUGUAUUGGAGGAUGUGCUACUGGGUGGACUAAUGAUACUUGUGACAAAGUUGAUACAGAUUACUGUA
Molecule: long non-coding RNA, 289 nt
Organism: Saccostrea cuccullata (small rock oyster)
Lineage: Eukaryota; Metazoa; Mollusca; Bivalvia; Ostreida; Ostreidae
Exons: 3
Source: RefSeq, a predicted model, not a curated record